GAUGAAGAACGUAGCGAAAUGCGAUAAGUAAUGUGAAUUGCAGAACUCAGUGAAUCAUCGAAUCUUUGAACGCACAUUGCACCUCUCGGUAUUCCGGGAGGUAUGCCUGUUCGAGCGUCAUUUGUACCCUCAAGCUCUGCUUGGUGUUGGGUGUUUGUUCCGCCUCUGUGUGUGAACUCGCCUCAAAACAAUUGGCAGCCGGCGUACUUGUUUCGGAGCGCAGCACAUUUUGCGAUCCAGAUCAACGUACAGCGGCAUCCAAGAAGCCUUAUUUAACGCUCUUGACCUCGGAUCAGGUAGGGAUACCCGCUGAACUUAAGCAUAUCAAUAAGCGGAGGA
This 339-nucleotide unclassified non-coding RNA is filed under the name soil metagenome. RNAcentral's name for it is "partial contains 5.8S ribosomal RNA, internal transcribed spacer 2, and large subunit ribosomal RNA". The stretch from base 1 to 120 matches the Rfam family "5.8S ribosomal RNA", at positions 35 to 154 of the family's 154-position model. The record is from RNAcentral.